UACCACUUGUUGCCUCGGCGGAUCAGCCCGCUCCCGGUAAAACGGGACGGCCCGCCAGAGGACCCCUAAACUCUGUUUCUAUAUGUAACUUCUGAGUAAAACCAUAAAUAAAUCAAAACUUUCAACAACGGAUCUCUUGGUUCUGGCAUCGAUGAAGAACGCAGCAAAAUGCGAUAAGUAAUGUGAAUUGCAGAAUUCAGUGAAUCAUCGAAUCUUUGAACGCACAUUGCGCCCGCCAGUAUUCUGGCGGGCAUGCCUGUUCGAGCGUCAUUUCAACCCUCAAGCACAGCUUGGUGUUGGGACUCGCGUUAAUUCGCGUUCCUCAAAUUGAUUGGCGGUCACGUCGAGCUUCCAUAGCGUAGUAGUAAAACCCUCGUUACUGGUAAUCGUCGCGGCCACGCCGUUAAACCCCAACUUCUGAAUGUUGACCUCGGAUCAGGUAGGAAUACCCGCUGAACUUAAGCAUAUCAAUAAGCGGA
This 479-nucleotide ribosomal RNA is filed under the name Fusarium sp. CJ3. RNAcentral's name for it is "eukaryotic LSU rRNA". The stretch from base 117 to 270 matches the Rfam family "5.8S ribosomal RNA". The record is from RNAcentral. Lineage: Eukaryota; Fungi; Ascomycota; Sordariomycetes; Hypocreales; Nectriaceae.